UUUGAUUAAGUUAGAAAUGGGAGGUGAUCCCAUUAGCUUAAUCCUGGGGCAAUUGGGCCCCUGAAGAACUCAAAUUGGGUCGAAUGGUUCAACCCAUUCGGACCCAGGUUGUUGUGGGAGGUGCAACCGCCCAGGCAGGGAGGUAGCACCGCCCAGGCUAUGUCUCCCAGCGAGACUAGGCGGUGCAACCGCCCCACCCAAGAGGUGCAACCGCCCAGGGCUCAGUCUCCGAGCGAGACUGGGCGGUGCAACCUCCUCUGUCAGGAGGUAGCACCGCCAGAGCUCAAGUCUCGAGCUCUGCCAAGCGGUGCAACCUCUCCAGUCAGGCGGUGCAACCGCCUGAGCUCGGUCUUCGAGCUCUGGCAGAGAGGUGCAACCACCCCUGACAGAGGUAGCACCGCCCAGAGGCUCAGUCUUCGAACUCUGCCAGGCGGUGCAACCUCUCCAGUCAGGAGGUGCAACCGCCUGAUCCCGGAAUUCCGGGAUUUGAUCGUUUUGAGCUCCAAAUUUGAACUGGGUUGGGGCCUAUAAAUACCCCACCCAUUCAGCACUGAAAAGAUACAGACCUACAUCGAAUUCUUGAUCUUUUCUAUGAUUCUAAGAGCUCAAAUUUGUGUAAAGUCCAAAAGUUCUCCUCUUUCUGUUCUUCAAAUCUUGAGUUGUAAAGAGAGGAGAGAAAGGUUAUGUAAGGGUUGUCUCCUGAGCCCGUCAAAAGGAGUGAAACUGUAAAAGGGCAGUUGGCCUUCGCCUAUUGAAGGAAGGCCUCUAGUUGACGUCGGUGACCUCGUCGGUGGAGGAAGCCAAAAGUGGAGUAGGUCAAGACUGACCGAACCACUCUAAAUCUCUGGUUUGCUUUUAUUUUGAGCACUUUAUCAUUACUGCAAACCUCCUAUAUAGCUACUGCUCUCUGCG
This 912-nucleotide long non-coding RNA is filed under the name Musa acuminata (dwarf banana). RNAcentral's name for it is "long non-coding RNA (MACU_LNC005225)". The record is from RNAcentral. Lineage: Eukaryota; Viridiplantae; Streptophyta; Magnoliopsida; Zingiberales; Musaceae.